GUACACUCCUACGGGAGGCAGCAGUGGGGAAUAUUGGACAAUGGGCGCAAGCCUGAUCCAGCCAUGCCGCGUGAGUGAUGAAGGCCCUAGGGUUGUAAAGCUCUUUCACCGGUGAAGAUAAUGACGGUAACCGGAGAAGAAGCCCCGGCUAACUUCGUGCCCGCAGCCGCGGUAAUACGAAGGGGGCUAGCGUUGUUCGGAUUUACUGGGCGUAAAGCGCACGUAGGCGGACUAUUAAGUCAGGGGUGAAAUCCCGGGGCUCAACCCCGGAACUGCCUUUGAUACUGGUAGUCUUGAGUUCGAGAGAGGUGAGUGGAAUUCCGAGUGUAGAGGUGAAAUUCGUAGAUAUUCGGAGGAACACCAGUGGCGAAGGCGGCUCACUGGCUCGAUACUGACGCUGAGGUGCGAAAGCGUGGGGGGCAAACAGGAUUAGAAACCCGAGUAGUCCCA
This 450-nucleotide ribosomal RNA is filed under the name uncultured organism. RNAcentral describes it as "partial 16S ribosomal RNA". It matches the Rfam family "Bacterial small subunit ribosomal RNA", at positions 331 to 797 of the family's 1533-position model. The record is from RNAcentral.